Molecule: unclassified non-coding RNA, 378 nt
Filed under: plant metagenome
Description: partial contains 5.8S ribosomal RNA, internal transcribed spacer 2, and large subunit ribosomal RNA
Rfam family: 5.8S ribosomal RNA (bases 1-105)
Source: RNAcentral
GAAAUGCGAUAAGUAAUGUGAAUUGCAGAAUUCAGUGAAUCAUCGAAUCUUUGAACGCACCUUGCGCUCCUUGGUAUUCCUUGGAGCAUGUCUAUUUGAGUAUCAUGAAAUCUUCAAAGUAAAUCUUUUGUUAACUCAAUUGGUUUCUACUUUGGUAUUGGAGGUCUUUGCAGCUUCACACCUGCUCCUCUUUGUUCAUUAGCUGGAUCUCAGUGUUAUGCUUGGUUCCACUCGGCGUGAUAAGUUAUCUAUCGCUGAGGACACUGUAAAAGGUGGCCAAGGUAAAUGCAGAUGAACCGCUUCUAAUAGUCCAUUGACUUGGACAAUACUUUUAUGAUCUGAUCUCAAAUCAGGUAGGACUACCCGCUGAACUUAAGC